RNAcentral lists this transfer RNA (105 nucleotides) under Xylaria venustula. RNAcentral describes it as "tRNA-Ala". It matches the Rfam family "tRNA". From Rfam's summary of the family: Transfer RNA (tRNA) molecules are approximately 80 nucleotides in length. Their secondary structure includes four short double-helical elements and three loops (D, anti-codon, and T loops). Further hydrogen bonds mediate the characteristic L-shaped molecular structure. tRNAs have two regions of fundamental functional importance: the anti-codon, which is responsible for specific mRNA codon recognition, and the 3' end, to which the tRNAs corresponding amino acid is attached (by aminoacyl-tRNA synthetases). tRNAs cope with the degeneracy of the genetic code in two manners: having more than one tRNA (with a specific anti-codon) for a particular amino acid; and 'wobble' base-pairing, i.e. permitting non-standard base-pairing at the 3rd anti-codon position. The record is from RNAcentral. Lineage: Eukaryota; Fungi; Ascomycota; Sordariomycetes; Xylariales; Xylariaceae.
GGGCGAAUGGUCUAGGGGUAUGAUACUCCCUUCGCAUAUCCAAAGAUUCCAUCUUUGGAAAAUAGUGUCUGGGAGGGGUCCGGGGUUCAAUUCCCCGUUCGUCCA